GGUGGCUUAGUGGUAGAGCACUUGCCUUGCAUGCAUGAGGUCCUGGGUUCGAUUCCUCAGCACCA
This is a non-coding RNA of Dipodomys ordii (Ord's kangaroo rat), 65 nucleotides long. Lineage: Eukaryota; Metazoa; Chordata; Mammalia; Rodentia; Heteromyidae. The record is from Rfam.